CCCCCCUGAUCCCAUCCAUCUUCUUCGAGGACCUGAAGGAGCUGGCAUUGUGAAGUCUUGUUGCUUUGUCUUUUUCCUUCCUUCCUUCCCUCUGAUCCCCUUUGAUUCUACUCCCACAGUGUCUUCCAUGCAGGUUUUCAUGUGACUGCAUGUGUAAGCUCACUGUUUGCAUGCCUGCUUACAACUAAGGCCAGAUACUUGUACUGCCAGCCAAGGAAAAGCUGUGGAUCUAUGUAAGAAAUGCUGCUGAAAUUAUACAUCUCAGAGAACUGUGUUUGGCAAACUUCUUGAUGGAUCAGAUCAACCAACUUUGAAAUUGUGCCCUCCAAAAGCAAGCAAGCAAGCAAGCAAGCAAACAAACAAGUUUAUUUUGCAUUAGUUGAGGAAAGAGUAGAAUUACCUGAGAUCUUGUUAAAGGGUUCUAUUUUUACUAUCUGUAAGGAGGCACUUCUAAUUAUUAAAAUGUUGUGGAGAGAAAACAUGACUUUUAUGAUACAGUUUUGCCCCUACUUAGUGUAGAUUAUGCUAUUAUGAAAUUAACACUUAAGUAGAAUUAAAAAGACAAACCUACAACACUUCAAAGUCAGAUAUAAUUUGAAAAAACAUGGUCCUUCUAUAAAGGGUGACCUUAAUAUCAAAUGGCAGGCUUCUGACUCCAUAUACAUUACCCUAUUCAUUAAAUCGCUAAAGCUAGACACAUCAUAAAGAUGAAGGCUAGGCUUCUUCUCAUUACCAAUAACCUCCUGUAGAGUAUUUGCAAACUUAAA
Molecule: non-coding RNA, 767 nt
Organism: Rattus norvegicus (Norway rat)
Lineage: Eukaryota; Metazoa; Chordata; Mammalia; Rodentia; Muridae
Source: RefSeq, a predicted model, not a curated record